GGUGUUCGUGCAACUGGAGCUGCAGGCCUCAUCCAGGCUCCACUACCCAACCAUGCCAGACUGCAAUUUUGGUGAGGGCGACAGCAAUACAUAAUGGGUGCCCUUCUCUUGCCCUUCCAUUACCCAGCAGGGCUAGUAACAUUUUAUUACCCCCAAACUGAAAUCAUUUUCCAGAGGAGCAAAGAAGAAGAAAGAACUACGGGCAAGACUUUAAAACAAGCGGCCAGUGAUUACUAAUUCAUUUGCUAUUCAUCGCAAUGAGAACAAUAAUGAAUCUGGAGGGCGUGGAUGGGGGCUUUAAAUGGAAUCUCUUUCCAUUGGCACAGGAAAUGUUUCCCACGUCCUGCUGAUGGUGGCUGAAUAGAAAAGCCAAUUUCAGAGGCCAAAUGACUGACCCUGCCGGGAGCUCGGAUGUGUCUCUAAUGAAGAAAUGCAGGAGACUUGCUGCCUCAGUGAGCGUUCAAAGGACGAGAUUAUCGAUUGAAAGGGAUUGAUGGG
This is a long non-coding RNA of Mauremys reevesii (Reeves's turtle), 498 nucleotides long. RefSeq lists it as uncharacterized. The record is from RefSeq and is a predicted model, not a curated record. Lineage: Eukaryota; Metazoa; Chordata; Testudines; Geoemydidae. The transcript is spliced from 3 exons.